UACAGAGGCCCCAAGCAUUACCCGGAAUUACUGGGCGUAAAGGGUGCGUAGGUGGCGCUAUUAGUCCUCCUUUAAAUUCUCCGGGCUCAACCCGGAGACUCGGGGGGAAACGGUAGCGCUAGAGGAUGUAAGAGGUAUGUGGAACUCAUGGUGUAGGGGUGAAAUCCGUUGAUAUCAUGGGGAACACCGAAUGCGAAGGCAGCAUACUGGGACAUUCCUGACACUGAGGCACGAAAGCGUGGGUAGCAAAAAGG
RNAcentral lists this ribosomal RNA (254 nucleotides) under uncultured bacterium. RNAcentral describes it as "partial 16S ribosomal RNA". It matches the Rfam family "Bacterial small subunit ribosomal RNA", at positions 524 to 776 of the family's 1533-position model. The record is from RNAcentral.